UCACUCUGAUUUCUCUUCAAUUGUCGUAUAAAUCUUUCGCCUUUUACUAAAGAUUUCCGUGGAGAGGAAUACUCUAAUGAGUCUGUAGAAUUUUUUAUCGUAACCCGAUCCUUAGUUGGAUCGG
Small nuclear RNA from Armigeres subalbatus, 124 nucleotides. RefSeq annotates it as U5 spliceosomal RNA. The transcript has a single exon. The record is from RefSeq and is a predicted model, not a curated record. NCBI's taxonomy places the organism in Eukaryota, Metazoa, Arthropoda, Insecta, Diptera, Culicidae.